Molecule: ribosomal RNA, 468 nt
Filed under: uncultured bacterium
Lineage: Bacteria
Description: partial 16S ribosomal RNA
Rfam family: Bacterial small subunit ribosomal RNA
Source: RNAcentral
GACGAACGCUGGCGGCGUGCUUAACGCAUGCCAGUCGAACGGAAAGGCCCUGCUUUUGUGGGGUGCUCGCGUGGCGAACGGGUGAGUAACACGUGAGUAACCUGCCCUUGACUUUGGGAUAACUUCAGGCAACUGGUGCUAAUACCGGAUAGGAGCUCCUGCUGCAUGGUGGUGGUUGGAAAGCUUCGGCGGUUGUGGAUGGACUUGGGGCUUAUCAGCUUGUUGGUGGGGUAGUGGCUUACCCGGGCAUCGGAGGGUAGCCGGCCUGAGAGGGGGAACAGGCACAUUGGGACUGAGAGAGGGAGCAGACGCCAACGGGAGGCAGUAGUGGGGAGUAUUGCACAAUGGGCGGAAGCGUGAUGCAGAGACGCCGCGUGCGGGAUGACGGCCUUCGGGUUGUAAACCGCUUUAGCCUGUGACGAAGCGGGAGUGACGGUAAUGGGUAAAGAAGCACCGGCUAACUACGUG